This 485-nucleotide ribosomal RNA is filed under the name uncultured bacterium. Its description in RNAcentral is "partial 16S ribosomal RNA". It matches the Rfam family "Bacterial small subunit ribosomal RNA", at positions 899 to 1397 of the family's 1533-position model. The record is from RNAcentral.
ACUCAAAGGAAUUGACGGGGGCCCGCACAAGCAGCGGAGCGUGUGGUUUAAUUCGACGCAACGCGAAGAACCUUACCCAGGCUUGACAUGUAUGUGGUAGGGACCUGAAAGGGAACCGACCCGCAAGGGAGCAUGCACAGAUGCUGCAUGGCUGUCGUCAGCUCGUGCCGUGAGGUGUUGGGUUAAGUCCCGCAACGAGCGCAACCCUCGUGGUCAGUUGAAUUUCUCUGGCCAGACCGCUGCGACCAACGCAGAGGAAGGUGGGGAUGACGUCAAGUCAUCACGGCUCUUACGCCUGGGGCUACACACACGCUACAAUGGGUGGUACAGAGGGUUGCCAAAGCGCGAGCUGGAGCUAAUCCCACAAAGCCAUCCUCAGUUCAGAUUGCAGGCUGAAACUCGCCUGCAUGAAGGCGGAGUUGCUAGUAACCGCAGGUCAGCACACUGCGGUGAAUACGUUCCCGGGCCUUGUACACACCGCCCGU